RNAcentral lists this ribosomal RNA (497 nucleotides) under uncultured bacterium. RNAcentral's name for it is "partial 16S ribosomal RNA". It matches the Rfam family "Bacterial small subunit ribosomal RNA", at positions 28 to 507 of the family's 1533-position model. The record is from RNAcentral.
GAUGAACGCUGGCGGCGUGCCUAAUACAUGCAAGUCGAGCGAACAGACGAGGAGCUUGCUCCUCUGACGUUAGCGGCGGACGGGUGAGUAACACGUGGAUAACCUACCUAUAAGACUGGGAUAACUUCGGGAAACCGGAGCUAAUACCGGAUAAUAUAUUGAACCGCAUGGUUCAAUAGUGAAAGCCGGUUUUGCUGUCACUUAUAGAUGGAUCCGCGCCGCAUUAGCUAGUUGGUAAGGUAACGGCUUACCAAGGCAACGAUGCGUAGCCGACCUGAGAGGGUGAUCGGCCACACUGGGACUGAGACACGGUCCAGACUCCUACGGGAGGCAGCAGUAGGGAAUCUUCCGCAAUGGGCGAAAGCCUGACGGAGCAACGCCGCGUGAGUGAUGAAGGUCUUCGGAUCGUAAAACUCUGUUAUUAGGGAAGAACAAAUGUGUAAGUAACUAUGCACGUCUUGACGGUACCUAAUCAGAAAGCCACGGCUAACUACGUG